Molecule: ribosomal RNA, 485 nt
Filed under: uncultured bacterium
Lineage: Bacteria
Description: partial 16S ribosomal RNA
Rfam family: Bacterial small subunit ribosomal RNA
Source: RNAcentral
ACUCAAAUGAAUAGACGGGGACCCGCACAAGCGGUGGAGCGUGUUGUUUAAUUCGAUGGUAAGCGAAGAACCUUACCCAGGCUUGACAUCCUUGGAAUUUCUGCGAAAGCAGAGAGUGCUUUAUUGAGCCAAGUGACAGGUGAUGCAUGGCCGUCGUCAGCUCGUGUCGUGAGAUGUUUGGUUAAGUCCAUCAACGAGCGCAACCCUUGUGAUUAGUUGAAUUUUUCUAAUCAGACUGCCCUGGUAACAGGGAGGAAGGGGGGGAUGAUGUCAGGUCAGUAUUUCCCUUACGUCUGGGGCUACAAACACGCUACAAUGGCCGGUACAAAGGGCAGCCAAGCAGCAAUGCGGAGCAAAUCCCAUCAAAGCCGGUCUCAGUUCGGAUAGCAGGCUGAAACUCGCCUGCUUGAAGCUGGAAUCGCUAGUAACGGUAAGUCAGCUAUAUUACCGUGAAUACGUUCCCGGGUCUUGCACACACCGCCCGU